CUAUCCUUCAUUCCUCUCCUUUUGGAGCAGUGGGAAGUGCAAUGCAUCAGGGUUCAAGAAUGGGCUUCUUGUGAGCCUCUCACAUGCAGGCAUGGAGGAGAUGACAGCAGAGUUGACAGCCUGGUGCUCCUGAGCCUGGGAUCCAGUUUGGGAGACAGACUGGUGAGUCCUCUUGGCAUCUCUGAUGGUGCGGUCCAAUUCAGAAAAGGUUAUCGUUGUGCAGGAAGUAGAAAUCACAGGAUAUCUGUGGCUUUGCUGACAGUGAAUGGAACUUAAAGUUUAGCAAUUAAUAAAGCAUUUUGAAAUCCAGAAAUUAAGGUUUAAACCAUGCAGCAGAUGACUG
This 343-nucleotide long non-coding RNA is filed under the name Capra hircus (goat). RNAcentral's name for it is "lncRNA (ENSCHIG00000004759.1)". The record is from RNAcentral. Lineage: Eukaryota; Metazoa; Chordata; Mammalia; Artiodactyla; Bovidae.